Molecule: ribosomal RNA, 668 nt
Filed under: Chlorocillium griseum
Lineage: Eukaryota; Fungi; Ascomycota; Sordariomycetes; Hypocreales; Chlorocilliaceae
Description: LSU rRNA
Rfam family: Eukaryotic large subunit ribosomal RNA
Source: RNAcentral
AGUAACGGCGAGUGAAGCGGCAACAGCUCAAAUUUGAAAUCUGGCCCCCAGGGCCCGAGUUGUAAUUUGCAGAGGAUGCUUUUGGCGACGCGCCUUCCGAGUUCCCUGGAACGGGACGCCAUAGAGGGUGAGAGCCCCGUCUGGUUGGACGCCGAGCCUCUGUAAAGCUCCUUCGACGAGUCGAGUAGUUUGGGAAUGCUGCUCUAAAUGGGAGGUAUAUGUCUUCUAAAGCUAAAUACCGGCCAGAGACCGAUAGCGCACAAGUAGAGUGAUCGAAAGAUGAAAAGCACUUUGAAAAGAGGGUUAAAUAGUACGUGAAAUUGUUGAAAGGGAAGCGCUCACGACCAGACUUGAGCCCGGUGAAUCAUCCAGCGUUCUCGCUGGUGCACUUCGCCGGGCCCAGGCCAGCAUCGGUUCGCCGCGGGGGAGAAAGGCGUCGGGAACGUGGCUCCCUCGGGAGUGUUAUAGCCCGUCGCACAAUACCCUGGGGCGGACCGAGGUUCGCGCAUCUGCAAGGAUGCUGGCGUAAUGGUCGUCAGCGACCCGUCUUGAAACACGGACCAAGGAGUCGUCUUCGUAUGCGAGUGUUCGGGUGUAAAACCCCUACGCGUAAUGAAAGUGAACGCAGGUGAGAGCUUCGGCGCAUCAUCGACCGAUCCUGAUGUUCU